This is a non-coding RNA of Dermacentor albipictus, 184 nucleotides long. The record is from RefSeq and is a predicted model, not a curated record. NCBI's taxonomy places the organism in Eukaryota, Metazoa, Arthropoda, Arachnida, Ixodida, Ixodidae.
AUACAUGGCCGAUGCGGGUCAAAGUGUAGUAUCUCUUCUUAUCAGCUUAAUAUCUGAUACGGGUUGUAUUUGGACAUAAGUUGUUAAAAUUAUUUUUGCAAUUUGGCGGAGUGCUUGAAGCCUGCUUCACUUCCGUCGCGGGUCGGCCCGGUAUUGCACCAUCUUCGAGAUCGGCCCAGGGUUC